GUGGGGAAUAUUGCACAAUGGGCGCAAGCCUGAUGCAGCGACGCCGCGUGAGGGAUGACGGCCUUCGGGUUGUAAACCUCUUUCGCCAGGGACGAAGCCUUUCGGGGUGACGGUACCUGGAUAAGAAGCACCGGCUAACUACGUGCCAGCAGCCGCGGUAAUACGUAGGGUGCGAGCGUUGUCCGGAAUUAUUGGGCGUAAAGAGCUCGUAGGCGGUUUGUCACGUCGGCCGUGAAAACUGGAGGCUUAACCUCCAGCUUGCGGUCGAUACGGGCAGACUUGAGUUCGGUAGGGGAGACUGGAAUUCCUGGUGUAGCGGUGGAAUGCGCAGAUAUCAGGAGGAACACCGGUGGCGAAGGCGGGUCUCUGGGCCGAUACUGACGCUGAGGAGCGAAAGCGUGGGGAGCGAACAGGAUUAGAAACCCUAGUAGUCC
RNAcentral lists this ribosomal RNA (434 nucleotides) under uncultured Amycolatopsis sp. RNAcentral's name for it is "bacterial SSU rRNA". It matches the Rfam family "Bacterial small subunit ribosomal RNA", at positions 354 to 796 of the family's 1533-position model. The record is from RNAcentral. Lineage: Bacteria; Bacillati; Actinomycetota; Actinomycetes; Pseudonocardiales; Pseudonocardiaceae.